AUUGAACGCUGGCGGCAGGCCUAACACAUGCAAGUCGAGCGGAUGAAGGGAGCUUGCUCCUGGAUUCAGCGGCGGACGGGCGAGUAAUGCCUAGGAAUCUGCCUGGUAGUGGGGGAUAACGUCCGGAAACGGGCGCUAAUACCGCAUACGUCCUGAGGGAGAAAGUGGGGGUUCUUCGGACCUCACGCUAUCAGAUGAGCCUAGGUCGGAUUAGCUAGUUGGUGGGGUAAAGGCCUACCAAGGCGACGAUCCGUAACUGGUCUGAGAGGAUGAUCAGUCACACUGGAACUGAGACACGGUCCAGACUCCUACGGGAGGCAGCAGUAGGGAAUAUUGGGCAAUGGGCGAAAGCCUGAUCCAGCCAUGCCGCGUGUGUGAAGAAGGUCUUCGGAUUGUAAAGCACUUUAAGUUGGGAGGAAGAGCAGUAUGUUAAUACCUGGCUGUCUUGACGUUACCAACAGAGAAAGCACCGGCUAACUUCGUG
Molecule: ribosomal RNA, 484 nt
Filed under: uncultured bacterium
Lineage: Bacteria
Description: partial 16S ribosomal RNA
Rfam family: Bacterial small subunit ribosomal RNA
Source: RNAcentral